UGAGUAGGCGGUUGUAUAUGUCAGGUGUAAAAGGCUAUGGCUUAACCAUGGUUAGCACUUGAAACUGUACAACUUGAGUGCAGGAGAGGUAAGUGGAAUUCCUAGUGUAGCGGUGAAAUGCGUAGAUAUUAGGAGGAACACCAGUGGCGAAGGCGACCUACUGGACUGUAACUGACGCUGAGUCACGAAAGCGUGGGUAGCAAACAG
RNAcentral lists this ribosomal RNA (207 nucleotides) under uncultured Eubacteriales bacterium. RNAcentral describes it as "uncultured Clostridiales bacterium partial 16S ribosomal RNA". It matches the Rfam family "Bacterial small subunit ribosomal RNA", at positions 568 to 775 of the family's 1533-position model. The record is from RNAcentral. Lineage: Bacteria; Bacillati; Bacillota; Clostridia; Eubacteriales.